Molecule: non-coding RNA, 72 nt
Organism: Bos taurus (domestic cattle)
Lineage: Eukaryota; Metazoa; Chordata; Mammalia; Artiodactyla; Bovidae
Source: Rfam
UCCCUAGUAGCCCAGACAGUAAGGAAUCUGCCUGCAAUGCAGGAAACCCGGGUUUGAUCCCUGAUUUGGGAA